RNAcentral lists this ribosomal RNA (480 nucleotides) under uncultured bacterium. RNAcentral's name for it is "bacterial SSU rRNA". It matches the Rfam family "Bacterial small subunit ribosomal RNA", at positions 29 to 507 of the family's 1533-position model. The record is from RNAcentral.
AUGAACGCUAGCGGCAGGCUUAACACAUGCAAGUCGAGGGGUAUAGUAGCAAUACUAGAGACCGGCGCACGGGUGCGUAACGCGUAUGCAAUCUACCUUUUACAGAGGGAUAGCCCAGAGAAAUUUGGAUUAAUACCUCAUAGCAUUUGCGAAAUGGCAUCAUUUUUGCAAUUAAAGUCACAACGUAAGAGAUGAGCAUGCGUCCCAUUAGCUAGUUGGUAAGGUAACGGCUCACCAAGCCGACGACGGGUAUCUGGCGUGAGAGCGCGAACAGCACAAGGACACUGAGAGACGGGUCCUACUCCUACGGGAGGCAGCAGUGGGGAAUAUUGGACAAUGGGCGAAAGCCUGAUCCAGCGACGCCGCGUGUCGGAAGGAGUCCUUCGGGAUGUAAACGACUUUUGGUGGAGACGAAUAAGCAGCUCAGGGAAUGGGGCUGUGAUGACGGUAUCCAUGGAAUAAGCCCCGGCUAACUACGUG